RNAcentral lists this ribosomal RNA (558 nucleotides) under Burkholderia sp. CEL4DAAB. RNAcentral's name for it is "bacterial SSU rRNA". It matches the Rfam family "Bacterial small subunit ribosomal RNA", at positions 21 to 572 of the family's 1533-position model. The record is from RNAcentral. Lineage: Bacteria; Pseudomonadati; Pseudomonadota; Betaproteobacteria; Burkholderiales; Burkholderiaceae.
GGCUCAGAUUGAACGCUGGCGGCAUGCCUUACACAUGCAAGUCGAACGGCAGCACGGGUGCUUGCACCUGGUGGCGAGUGGCGAACGGGUGAGUAAUACAUCGGAACAUGUCCUGUAGUGGGGGAUAGCCCGGCGAAAGCCGGAUUAAUACCGCAUACGAUCUACGGAUGAAAGCGGGGGACCUUCGGGCCUCGCGCUAUAGGGUUGGCCGAUGGCUGAUUAGCUAGUUGGUGGGGUAAAGGCCUACCAAGGCGACGAUCAGUAGCUGGUCUGAGAGGACGACCAGCCACACUGGGACUGAGACACGGCCCAGACUCCUACGGGAGGCAGCAGUGGGGAAUUUUGGACAAUGGGCGAAAGCCUGAUCCAGCAAUGCCGCGUGUGUGAAGAAGGCCUUCGGGUUGUAAAGCACUUUUGUCCGGAAAGAAAUCCUUGGUUCUAAUAUAACCGGGGGAUGACGGUACCGGAAGAAUAAGCACCGGCUAACUACGUGCCAGCAGCCGCGGUAAUACGUAGGGUGCGAGCGUUAAUCGGAAUUACUGGGCGUAAAGCGUGCGC